This 602-nucleotide ribosomal RNA is filed under the name Papiliotrema laurentii. RNAcentral describes it as "partial large subunit ribosomal RNA". It matches the Rfam family "Eukaryotic large subunit ribosomal RNA", at positions 72 to 663 of the family's 3401-position model. Lineage: Eukaryota; Fungi; Basidiomycota; Tremellomycetes; Tremellales; Rhynchogastremaceae. The record is from RNAcentral.
GGAUUCCCCUAGUAACGGCGAGUGAACCGGGAAGAGCUCAAAUUUGAAAUCUGGCGUCCUCAGGGCGUCCGAGUUGUAAUCUAUAGAGGCGUUUUCCGUGCCGGACCGUGUCCAAGUUCCUUGGAACAGGAUAUCAAAGAGGGUGACAAUCCCGUACUUGACACGACGACCGGUGCUCUGUGAUACGUCUUCUACGAGUCGAGUUGUUUGGGAAUGCAGCUCAAAAUGGGUGGUGAGUUCCAUCUAAAGCUAAAUAUUGGCGAGAGACCGAUAGCGAACAAGUACCGUGAGGGAAAGAUGAAAAGCACUUUGGAAAGAGAGUUAAACAGUACGUGAAAUUGUUGAAAGGGAAACGAUUGAAGUCAGUCGUGACCGAGAGGCUCAGCCGGCUCUGCCGGUGUAUUCCCCUCGGUCGGGUCAACAUCAGUUUUGUCCGGUGGAUAAGGGCGGUAGGAAGGUGGCACCCUCGGGUGUGUUAUAGCCUGCCGUCGCAUACAUCGGGUGAGACUGAGGAACGCAGCUCGCCUUUAUGGCCGGGGUUCGCCCACGUCCGAGCUUAGGAUGUUGACAUAAUGGCUUUAAACGACCCGUCUUGAAACACG